RNAcentral lists this long non-coding RNA (2228 nucleotides) under Phoenix dactylifera (date palm). RNAcentral's name for it is "long non-coding RNA (PDAC_LNC009191)". Lineage: Eukaryota; Viridiplantae; Streptophyta; Magnoliopsida; Arecales; Arecaceae. The record is from RNAcentral.
GAUUGAGAGGGAGGACAUCAGCCAUAAAAGUUAUCUCUGCAAGGGAGCUAGCACCCCGGGGAGAUAGAAAGCUUGGAUCGGUUCCUGCUUCGUGUGGAUACCCGUAGAGGCCGGACACUUGAACGGCUUCAAGCGAACCUUCAUCCAAAACCACGAUCAUCAGUUUGCGGUGAUCAUCUACCCGCACAAGGUGAAGAUCUGAUCUUCCUAAAGGUUUUAAAAGUUUUAAUCCUUAUCUAUCUACGAACGGUUUUUGAAACAACGUUCAUGCGAUGAACGGUUGAUCCCGCGCAUGCCUCUUCCGCUGCAUCUGAAAUUUUUUGAAAUUUUUCUGUAGCAUGGGUGGGUUUCUAAUAGUGGUAUCAGAGCCUAGGCAUCGUAGAUUAAGGUAAGUAUUAAUUAUCUAAAGGCAUCUUAGAUCUGAAAUUUAAAAGGUUAUGCAUGCUGAAAAUUUUCUGCAUGCAGAUUUUUCAAGGGUGCUGAUUUUUGCAUGUUGAUUUUUAUGUGAUAAAAUGAUGAUUCUAAUUGCAUUGUUAAUGAGAUUAUAAAGUUUAGAAUCAUGAUUAGCAUGAUCAGCAACCUAUGUCGUAACAUAAUCAAUUAAGUUUCAGAUCUGAAAAGUAUAAUUGUUGCAUGCAGUGAUGAUCAUAGGAUUCAAACCCUUUUGGUAUCAAAUGUAAUGACCUGCGAUGUGAUCUGUAAUGUUAUGUAAUUUUUCAAAUGCUUGCAUGUAUCUUAUUUGAUAUUUUGAGAGGCCUGCGUGCCUCCUAAAAUAGAAUGUAAUUUAUUAUUAUUUUUAUUUUACAUCUGGUUGUAUUUCUGUAAUGUGAUGUAUGUCAACGAUCAAGUUGAAGACAAGGCAUGAGAUGAACGGCGAUCUAAGCGGUUGAUGGCGAUGGGAUCAAGAGUUGAUCAAGGAUCGAAUCAAGGAGGCUUGGAACCAAUUCAAGAGUUGAAUACCAAUUGAUCGAUUGACGUGCAUGUGCUUGUAAUACGACCUAAUUAGAAUCCAUGAUCAUCACCUAUUUAAAGUUUAGUUUUAUUUGAUGCUGCGAUUAUAACAGCCUGUGAUGUGCCAUUUGCAUGUGAUGUGAAUGAGAGCGGGGUAGAUAGGUUUACAUGUGAUGUAACAAACCCAAUUUAGACCUAAAUUAAAACCUCCUCAAUCAAGUCGAGAGUGAACCAACAUGAGCAAGUCAUAUUACAUUAAUUGAUCUAAUUGGUGUCUAGGAAAGCAUGAAAGGUGGUUACUUAAUUAGAACCUUACUCUCUGAGUAAGGGGAGCCUCCCACCUGCUUACCUGGCCAUUGUUCGAUUACCUCUUAUGAAGAGCUCAAGUUGCAAACACUAAGGCCUGAUUAACCAAUAUUAAGUCAAUAGGUCUUCCACUGUAGUAGAGCUGCUAAGGUCUUUCUGAUGUUGAUUUGUCUCGGCUGGAUACAGUGGGCAAGUUGCAUCGGGGGGCUGGACCUCUCUAUAGACAAGAGAUGUUGUAGGUUAAAGAUGGGGUUGGGCACCAAUAACUGUUAGGUGAGGACCCAAUGACGACUUUAUUUCUACGGUUAUACGGUGGGUCUGACUUAACUAAGAAAUGGGACCAAUAACUAUUAGGUGAGGUCUUCAUGGCUUAGAGACCAAGUUGCACUGCAACAUGCUUGAGAAGUAUUGUACAAGAGUUGUACACUCAUCCAUCUAUGUGUCACCAAUAACUGUUAGGUGAGGUGGUAUGUAAAUCGGUGGGACCGCAGUACCCACUAGAAACCCUAGUCAUGUAGGAUUUCCAUUUUCUUACCAGGGGAGUGUAAAGGAUUCAAGAAAAUAGUGAGAGGUACAUUUGUUCUAAAAGACCUUAGAACAGAUUAAGGAUCAAGUACAAAAGUCUAACUAGAAUCUUUACUCUCCGCAGAUCAUAAUGUCAGCCUCAAACCCUUUGACCCGUAUUCUUGAGACCAACCGAUUGACUAGAACCAAUUACAAGGACUGGCUAAGAAACCUCAAAAUUGUUUUGAACUGAGAAAAUAGGCUACAUACUCGAUUCAGAUAUCCCCACACUACCAACACGUGCUACUGAUGUUCAGCGUGAGUGCAUCAAAAGUGAUGACAUUAGAGUCAAGUGCUAUAUGAUGGCAUCCAUGUCCAAUGAACUCCAAUGCCAGCAUGAGAAUAUGAAGACUACUAGGGACAUACUAGCACACCUGCAAGAGUUGUAUGGUGAGCAGAGUCGCACA